UUGAAAACGAUGUCAUUUCACCGUUGUCGUCGACGCAGCCACAGCAUAACCGUCCCUUAUUACACUCGGUCCUUCAUCUACUUCAUCUCUAUUUCUUCUCAUCCCCUGACAUUCAUCCUGUAAUCCUCUUCGUCAUCUUUGUUAUUAUCGUCCGACUCUUCACAGUCAGUGUUUAUUAUUGUAAUCGUUGUCAUCAUCUUUAUCAUCAUCACCCGCGUCAUCAUAAUCGUCCACUUACAAUAGCAACAACUACAAUAUUAUUCGCCACCUUUACUUAACGAGAAACUUCUCAAGCGAUUUGCAUAAACAAAUACACUUGUGCACAUUCCAUACAGACACACGGACACACGAGGACAACGUGCGAUAUAGACACAUAGAUACACGCACACAUACAUAGCCAAGCACACACGCACAAACACACACGUAUAUAUACGAACACUCAUACAAUCACAUGUGAAAGCUCACACACUGACACGUAAAAGUGCAGAGAGACACGCCUUUCUGUGGAUCUAUUCGGUGCCGUACUCAAAUCAAUGAAUUAAGACACAGACACACACACACACAGACACGCACUCACACACAGAUACACACAUAGGUGUGCGUGUAUAUUCAUACAUACAUACAUACAUACAUACAUACAUACGUAUGUUUGUACAUACAUCAUUUCUCAACGCGUGCAUGCAUCUCACGUUUACAAUACUAAACAUACUGCAUAUUCCACACACAGGCACAUACGCUGCACACGCGCACACAGACACACGCACAAACACACGCGCGCGCGCGCUCACUCCCAUACGUUCACAGACGAACAGAAUCAUUCGCACAUUCACACAGCGCUAUACCUCACCAUUCUCCACAGCACUGUACACAUAACAAACUCGCGCGCGCACACAGACACAAAAAGACAUACCGUGCACAUCAUAAACACCAAAAGCUUCCACCGGACUCAUUUCAGAGCGGUCGGCGACGGUGGAAAAUAAGAACAGUUAAAAGUAAAAAGCACGCAUAACAAAGCGAGCCACAGUGGAUGGAGGGCGGUAGGUAUAUCUGGCAGAACAGAGCAGACCUACGAAAAUCCCAGGUGAAAUUCUUUAAGCUGCGCCCCAUGAAGGCAAGCGUUCGUUCAAUGGUUGUUAUCAGACAACAGGUGUUGGCUACGAUUUUGUUCUUCGUAGCUGGGGUUAGUUCGGAUUUACAUAUAAUCGGAUUGUUUCCCACGACAACUGAAAGGGAAGCUGGUGCCAUAGGACGUGGGGUCCGUCCAGCUGUAGAACUUGCUAUAGAGAAAGUGAACUCCGAUCCGGGAAUCUUACCUCACUGGAACCUUACUGUAAAUUGGAACGACACUAAGUGCGACAUGGCUGUUGCUACCCGCUUAUUCUUUGAUAUGAUGCACGAAAACACAACUAAAAUCAUAUUAUUUGGCGACGCAUGUUUUAACGUGACAGGACCUAUGGUGCAAAUUUCAAAAUGGUGGAAUAUGACGCAGUUAUCCUAUGCUGACACAAAUCCUUUACUGUCAGAUCGAAAGGAAUAUGAAAAUUUUUUCCGAACAGUACCCAGUGAUAGUGAUUUUAAUCCGGCCAGACUUGCACUUUUGAAACUUUUCCAAUGGUCCCGAGUUGGGACCCUCUUUGAAGAUACAUCCGAACAUGGAUAUUCGAUCAACAGAUUGGUCAGUUUACUUGAAAAGAACAACAUUACUAUUAUAAAAGUACAGAGCUUUGCCGAUGAUGCUGAUACAGCACUGCAAAAUUUAAAGGAGAAAGAUGUUCGUAUCAUUCUCGGAAACUUCUCACCCCAGAUGGCUCCAAACGUCUUCUGUAAUGCCUACAAAAGAGGGAUGUAUGGACCAAAGUACCAGUGGAUAAUCCUUGGUGGUUAUCCGGUGGAUUGGUGGACACAGAGUGAAGAGAAUUGUACUCAAGAGCAAAUCAAUGAGACAAUCCAUGGUUACAUUUCAACAGAUAUCCUCCCACUCAGUAGCAGCAAUUUAGUUACGGAUUCUGGUUGGACGCCAGCAACGUACCUGGACAAAUACAACAAAAAACGAGGAAACGAAUAUAGCAAAUUCCAUGGUUACGCAUUUGACGGAAUCUGGGUGAUUGCAAAGGCAUUUGAUCGUCUGGCGAGAAAGCGGAAACGGCGACAUACACCUUUAGUCUUUACUCGUGAGGAAGUUACUGCAGCUCUAAAUGCAACAAAUUUUCUUGGUGUGACGGGAACCGUCCGUUUCAACAGAGGAGAUCGAGUAGGCGGUAUUCUCUUUGAACAAUUUCAAGAUGGGAAAAUGGUUAAAAUAGGUGAAUAUUACCAACUAGAUGACCAUUUAAACUUAUCAGAUUGGAAUAAAAUCAUUUGGAGAGGUGAGAGGCCACCUCUAGAUGGCUUUUUACGGAUUGAGCAAAUGCAAAGGGUUUCCAUUAUUGCCUAUGGAAUAUUUUCUUCAUUGGCAGCCCUAGGAAUAGUUAUGGCAUGUAUGUUCCUGGCAUUUAAUAUUAAAUUCCGGAAACAUAGAUAUAUAAAGAUGUCGAGUCCAAAUAUGAACAAUAUGAUUGUUACCGGGUGUAUACUUACAUAUACUAGCGUGCUAUUACUAGGAACAGACGGGCGAAUAUUAUCACAUAACAGCUUUGCAUUUAUGUGUAACGCACGAGCUUGGGUAUUAAGUAUUGGUUUUACAUUAGCCUUUGGCGCGAUGUUUAGUAAAACAUGGCGAGUGCAUGCCAUAUUCACCAACAUUAAAUUAAAUAAAAAGGUUAUAAAAGAUUAUAAAUUGUUCCUGAUCGUCGGAGUCCUGUUAGUUGUCGACGGUGUAAUGUUAGGUACUUGGUGGGGCAUGGAUCCAUUCCACAUUGCAAGCAAAGAAUUGUCACAUUCGUUAAAAGGAGACAGUGAAAUUGUCCCUGUUGUAGAGUCAUGCGCCAGUGAUUAUAUGACAAUAUGGAUGGGUCUUAUAUAUGCCUAUAAAGGUUUACUUCUGGUAAUUGGUUGUUUCUUAGCUUGGGAAACACGCCAUGUGAGCAUCCCCGCCUUAAAUGAUUCUAAAUAUAUCGGCAUGAGUGUCUACAAUGUGGUGAUAAUGUGUACAUGUGGAGCUGCCGUUUCUAUUAUCAUCAAAGACAAGCCCACGUCAGCUUUUAUCAUUAUAGGUCUUUUCAUCAUAUUUUGUACAACCAUCACAUUGUGCCUUCUCUUUGUUCCAAAGAUAAUAGAACUUAAAAGAGACCCUAAAGGAGAUGAACGUGCAAGAAUGAGAGCAACUUUUAAAAAACCUUCAUCCAAACAAAUUAGUAUUGAGCCACCAAAUACAGAAUUGCACCAAAAGCUGACUUUAGUGAGUGAUGAAAACAUGAGAUACAAACAAAUACUGGAACAGAAAAACAAAGAAAUCCAAGAACUGAUGGAACAAUUAGGAGAUGAAGCGAGUUUAUAUGAAACAUCAAUGAAAACACCAGUACAUAAAAUGGUAGAAUCAUUAAAAACUACUGAUACAUCUCCUAGCAAGUACUCAAGAAGCACCAUUACGUCGGAUGGCGAUUCUACAUCUAUGAUAUCUGACUUAAGUGCAGCGACGAGUAUAUGGCAAGUUGAUUCUCCAUCUGGUCAGCGAAUUUACCUUCGACUUCAUUCAUUAGGAGAUGACACUUCAUGCACUGAAAGUAUUGAACUUGUAGACUUCAGUAAGAAACCUACUUUUAAUAAAUUGACGCCAAUGAGAGAAGAAUUCGUCCAAAAUGAACACUAUGAUGAUACCUAUGCGACAGUAUAUUGUACAAAAUCAGAAUCCACGUCGAAGCACAGCUUACAAAGCUCUACAGAGCAAGCCGAAGUUCCUAUUAUUCAGCCAGCAGAGGAGGAGCAUCCUCUAGUCCACAAAUAUGCCCACAUAACUUUCUUAGAUGGCCCUGUGGCCGACGAUGAAUCAACGGACUCCUUGGCAAUAGACCAAAAUAAAGAAGAAGAAGAAAGAAGCAUUAUCAGUGGUGACAUGCCAGAAUCUGUGUUUGAAUGCCAGGCUUUAUACUAACCCGGAUGCCUAAUUAACAGGUGCCAUUUCUAAUUUUUCAUUCUUGCCCCGUAUGAAGCUAACUUAUCGGCCUAGAAGACAGUAGUGACGAAGACACUCUGGUUGACUAUGAAGAUUGUGAGCUGGCGGACAACCAACUGAGUGAAAGCCCGAGCAGUUGGCAUGAAACUUUCAGCGGCGGCGGAAUCACGUUCUCCGCGUC
RNAcentral lists this unclassified non-coding RNA (4232 nucleotides) under Octopus sinensis (East Asian common octopus). RNAcentral describes it as "gamma-aminobutyric acid type B receptor subunit 2- like, transcript variant X2". The record is from RNAcentral. Lineage: Eukaryota; Metazoa; Mollusca; Cephalopoda; Octopoda; Octopodidae.